Molecule: non-coding RNA, 99 nt
Organism: Enterococcus termitis
Lineage: Bacteria; Bacillati; Bacillota; Bacilli; Lactobacillales; Enterococcaceae
Source: Rfam
CCCAUCACAAAGGGGAGCCUUGGCUGAGAUUGAGUACCUACUCUAAACCCUUCGAACCUGUUCGUUAAUACGAGCGUAGGAAUUGUGAUGGAGUAAAUA